RNAcentral lists this ribosomal RNA (1522 nucleotides) under Campylobacter coli. RNAcentral's name for it is "partial 23S ribosomal RNA". It matches the Rfam family "Bacterial large subunit ribosomal RNA", at positions 1 to 1393 of the family's 2925-position model. Lineage: Bacteria; Pseudomonadati; Campylobacterota; Epsilonproteobacteria; Campylobacterales; Campylobacteraceae. The record is from RNAcentral.
AAAAAAGGUAAGCUACUAAGAGCGAAUGGUGGAUGCCUUGACUGGUAAAGGCGAUGAAGGACGUACUAGACUGCGAUAAGCUACGGGGAGCUGUCAAGAAGCUUUGAUCCGUAGAUUUCCGAAUGGGGCAACCCAAUGUAUAGAGAUAUACAUUACCUAUAUAGGAGCGAACGAGGGGAAUUGAAACAUCUUAGUACCCUCAGGAAAAGAAAUCAAUAGAGAUUGCGUCAGUAGCGGCGAGCGAAAGCGCAAGAGGGCAAACCCAGUGCUUGCACUGGGGGUUGUAGGACUGCAAUGUGCAAGAGGUGAGUUUAGCAGAACAUUCUGGAAAGUAUAGCCAUAGAGGGUGAUAGUCCCGUAUGCGAAAAACAAACCUUAGCUAGCAGUAUCCUGAGUAGGGCGGGACACGAGAAAUCCUGUCUGAAGCUGGGUCGACCACGAUCCAACCCUAAAUACUAAUACCAGAUCGAUAGUGCACAAGUACCGUGAGGGAAAGGUGAAAAGAACUGAGGUGAUCAGAGUGAAAUAGAACCUGAAACCAUUUGCUUACAAUCAUUCAGAGCCCUAUGUAGCAAUACAGGGUGAUGGACUGCCUUUUGCAUAAUGAGCCUGCGAGUUGUGGUGUCUGGCAAGGUUAAGCAAACGCGAAGCCGUAGCGAAAGCGAGUCUGAAUAGGGCGCUUAGUCAGAUGCUGCAGACCCGAAACGAAGUGAUCUAUCCAUGAGCAAGUUGAAGCUAGUGUAAGAACUAGUGGAGGACUGAACCCAUAGGCGUUGAAAAGCCCCGGGAUGACUUGUGGAUAGGGGUGAAAGGCCAAUCAAACUUCGUGAUAGCUGGUUCUCUCCGAAAUAUAUUUAGGUAUAGCGUUGUGUCGUAAUAUAAGGGGGUAGAGCACUGAAUGGGCUAGGGCAUACACCAAUGUACCAAACCCUAUCAAACUCCGAAUACCUUAUAUGUAAUCACAGCAGUCAGGCGGCGAGUGAUAAAAUCCGUCGUCAAGAGGGAAACAACCCAGACUACCAGCUAAGGUCCCUAAAUCUUACUUAAGUGGAAAACGAUGUGAAGUUACUUAAACAACCAGGAGGUUGGCUUAGAAGCAGCCAUCCUUUAAAGAAAGCGUAAUAGCUCACUGGUCUAGUGAUUUUGCGCGGAAAAUAUAACGGGGCUAAAGUAAGUACCGAAGCUGUAGACUUGCGCACAACUUAGAUUAUUUAAGUUUAGAAUAUGAGAAACUAAGUUAUAUGUUUAGUUAUAUUUUUACUGAUUUUUAUAGAGUAAAGAUAGAAAUAAAACUUAGUAAAAUCAGUAAAAAUAUUCUUAGACUAAAGUUAAGUAGUUUAAGUUGUGUGCAAGUGGUAGGAGAGCGUUCUAUUUGCGUCGAAGGUAUACCGGUAAGGAGUGCUGGAGCGAAUAGAAGUGAGCAUGCAGGCAUGAGUAGCGAUAAUUAAUGUGAGAAUCAUUAACGCCGUAAACCCAAGGUUUCCUACGCGAUGCUCGUCAUCGUAGGGUUAGUCGGGUCCUA